UUAUUGGCUGAAUGAGCGUUUGUCGGUUUUUUAUUAUUAUUAUAAUAUCGUGCGUGCAUAGCAACAGCCACCUACUGAUUUAUGUAUUCUACACUUUUGUAACAGUAUUGUUACUACUGUUUAGAUUUGAAUGAUCAGAAAAUUUCAAUAUUAUAAUUCGAAUUUUAUUUAAUGUCCAUUGAAUAGAUAUUGAAACUCUGCAAGUCGAUACCAGAAACAAAUGCAUAAUAUACAGUCCUCAACCUGCUCAAUCGUCUAUCAACAAUCAGACCAAUUUCGUAAACAAGCCGAAUUAUUCAUCUCGCGCCGGUAAAAUGGUCUAAGUGUUGUAUGGACGCGACUACAGCCACUAUGGCCUAACCAGAAAUAAUAAUGUUACACUGUUAUGCACGUACUUCGCGACUAAUAAAAGGGAUCGUAGAUUCCCUAAUAGAUUCAAACCAAAUCAAAAUGAAACCUCGAGUAAUGACUUCCAUUCAGAUAAACGUAAAUUAUGUACUACACCUAUUAAAAAUGAACAGAUUAAUACACAACCAUAUGCCAAAAGCUCAAAUAAAAUUAAUGCGGUUCUCGAAGGUCUAGGUUUUGUGUGUAAUAAUGAUAAAAUAUAUACAUAUCGUGCAUAAUACAUAUUAUACAUAUUAUACACUGUUAUAAUGUUAAUAAUCAAUAUAAUACCGGAUACGGCACAAAAACUCAUACGUCACCUGCAAUGUCAAAAUUUUUGUCACAUCAUGUUUGGUAUCGCAAAGCCAUCUCCAAAUGGAUUGACAAACAUGGAAAGCACAAAACAAUAGUGUAGAUUCCGGAAAGACUUCUUGUAGUGCUUGACGUUCUGCUGUACUAUCGUCUGUCAUGAAUACUAAAGUUUUCUUUUGUUAAAUAUUUAUGAAUGACAGCACCUAAAGGAAUGCCACCAACCUUUGAAACGCCAAAAAUAAAGUGAUACAAGAACCACUUUGAUCACAUGAACUUGUAGAGUCCACAAAAAUAAUGUCUUGGGAAAAAGGCAUUUUGUAAGCUCUCAUCAUAAGUGGAGUAAUAAUUACUACACAUAAUGAAAACUCACAAUGAACAGAACUACAGAAUAAGAAAACUUCAAAUUUCAAUUAUCUUGUAAAUAAUGAACUAAUGAGCUAUGAUAACUGACAAGUGAUAACGUAUCUUGCGCAAUGAGGGAUGUGGGUGCCAUACCCGUCUGACCGAAUUCAGUUACGGUUCGUAAAUACGUCGACCGGCCGCCGACGGCGAGUAGUGGGCGUGACUUAAACGCCGCACGCUUGCGGAAUGCGAAAACACUUAACAGCGCAUUCUCUCGGCCGUUGUAUACGUUUCACUUUACGUGUAGCGUCCUAUUAAUAUUAAGCCCACUGCAUUCAAAUUUAUUAUCAAUGUCAUCCACCAAUUUAUUCACUUGCAAAAAAAGUAGCUGAAAUAGUUGUUACCGAGACAGUGAAAGUAGAAAUUGAAAGGAUUUUUCAAUAAAAAGGUUAUUAUUAAUAUUAGCGGCGCGGCAAUUUUCAACUAGCACACCCCACUAGUUAGGUAAUCAUGCUAUAAAUCUGAAAAUAAAAACAACAAUUAAUGUAAAUCCCACAGUUAGCUAUUAUAAAUUAAUAACUACAGUAAUUAAUAAUUACGGUUAUUAGUUUAUCCUUUUUGAUCAUAACACUUGGUUAGUUUUUCUAAUGCACUUCGGCAUUUAUUUAAAUCAUCAGAAUUCGCUUUCGCGCAUUCUAUAAAACUUUUUAUUUCGUCCUCACAUGGUGGCUUAAUGUAUUUUGAUACCACUUUUUCCUAAUAAUAAAUAAAUUAUCAUUAUAAAUAAUAUAUUAUUUAUAAAUUUUUAAAUUAUUAUACAUACAACUAAUACUUUUGUGGUCUCGCCAUGAUGAUUUCUACAAUAUCCUUAGCCAGUGGUCGUCCUGUAUCAGUUUCCAUAAUAAUAAAUAUAAUAAAAAUUUUUUAUAAUUAAAAUGUAUAUAAUAGAUAAAACGCAUAAAAAACAAGGGAAAGAAAUAUUUAUAUGAACAAUUUUAGCUUAUAACUACAUUUUUUUUUUUAACAUCAAUAUAUAUAUAUAUUAUGUUCAUGCUAUAAAUCUGAAAAUAAAAAUAACAAUUAAUGUAAAUCCCACAGUUAACUAUUAUAAAUAGUCAUUACGGUUAUUAGCUUAUACCUUAUUCUUUAAAACAAUGUUUUAAUUUUUUAAAUUCUUCGAUACAUUUGUUCAGAUUAUUAUCAUGUUUUUCAGCACAUUUGAUAAAUUUAAUAAUUUCUUGUUCGCACUUGUUGUUACCUUCAUAUUUUGAUGCAACUUUUUCCUAAUAACAAAUAAAUUAUUAUUAUAAAUAAUAUAUUAUUUAUAAAUUUUUAAAUUAUUAUACAUACAACUAAUUUUUUUGUGGUCUCGGCCUCGAUGAUUUUAACAAUAUCCUUAGCCAGUGGUCGUCCUGUAUCAGUUUCCAUAAUUUUUUUAAUAUGAUUGCCUAAAAUAUUAAUAACAUUGUUAUUAACACGAAAAAAUAAUUUUUUAUAAUAAAAAUAGUCGUUUAUUUAUUAUUAAUAGCAAGGAUUGAUAACAGUUUUAUUUCAGCCAUAUAUAUAUAUAUAUAUAAUAUAACUAGCUGACCCCGUGCACUUCGUUGCCCGUUAAAAAUGCAAAUUCUAUAUAAUAUGAUUCGAAUUUUGAUUAAUUUGUUAUUUACUAUUCGGUUUAACGGUGUUCAAAACUUAGACAUUUUCAUUGACUGUUUUGAUUCUCAAAAAUCUUGUGAAAGCACCACUUUAAUAUGCGAAUUUUGUAAAAUGCUUUCUUAUUACACACUAAAUUUGUGAUACGUUUCUACGAAUGUACCGUGUAAAUUGUAAGCAUCGAUCUAUCAUUGUUCAGGCUCUACGUUUAUCAGUCAGUGAGUUACUCAAGUCAUAAUAUUAUAGUCAUUCUGCUUACCGUUGCCGUGAGACUCUCUUAUGAUUAUGAGAGCAGUAUAUUAUCAUGUAGGCAAUCCACACGUGGUAGAUUGCGGACCCCACGAGAUGUGUAUAAGAAUUUUAUAAUUUCUAACACUUAAGUUUCAAAGUUAUGUCAUUUUUUUUUUUUUACUAUAGUGGGUAAAAUACAAUAAUGUGCCAAGUGGUUUUUGUAUUGUUGCCUGUUGGUAAAACAAUAAAACUUAGUAUAACUUGUUAUGUUAGUCUAUUGCUGUAAAAAAAUGUAUAUUAAAUAUAUAUAUUAUAAUCAAGCUGUCCCGACACGGCGUUGCCCGCGUAUUAUUUGUUUUUUUUUGCAUUUUCGUAGGCCAUGUAUUAGUGUUAUUAUGUAUGAGAAAAUUUAAUAAAACAUAUAAAUAUGGUUUAUCACGGAGAUAUGAAAAUUUUAUAUUAAAAUUGCAUUUAAAUACCUAUGUACUAUGUGAUACACCAUACUAUAUUGUGUAUUAUCCCAGCACUAUUUUCAAAAUAAUUAAUAUAAGAAUGAUCUAUGUUUAUAAUGUUACUAACUAAUAUUUAUCUUGCUCGUUAAAUAUACCAACUAUAUAUGACUCAAACUUUGUUCAAUUCAUUAUUUAAUAUUCUGUGGAUUAUGUUCUAGAUUUAUCUUAAGUUUUCUGUGGCCCGGAAUAAAAAUUCUGAUUCGCUGAACUGCUGAAGUAUAUUAUCAUUUAUCAGGUAGGCAAUCUAUCUGCGGUAGAUCGCGGACCUAGUGCUGUUUGUAUGUAAGUGUAUGAUUUAACUCUAAUAAAUAUCAAAGUUAUACCAAGUUUGACAUAGUACGGUGGAUUAUAUUAAUCAAUUAAUACAUAAUCCUAACCCAACCUUAACGCACUAAAAUCCGAUGAGAGCGUCCAGCUCGCCGAUGAUGCGUCUGGCAAAAAAAUAAUCAAGGUUAUUGUAGUCACAACGUGCAUUCACGCGAUUGGCAAGUUUAAUUUAAUUUAAAUUUAACAAUUGAUGUGAAUUUUAAAUUUACUGUGGCCAUUGACUUAUUUCGCUAAUUCUUAUUUUUGUUGUUAUGGUUUUAACAAAAUAUAACAUCAGGUCUAUAACUAUUAUAUUCAAUCAUAAUCAAUAGCGAUCUUAAUAUAGUUUAUUUUCUUGCUGAACAACUGCAGUGACAGUUGUUGUUGUUUUUUUACACCCAGAUUCCGAACUUUUCUGGUGUAUUUUCCUAAAAUUGUAUUACAUAAGCACAUUUUCCUGCGACCAAUAAGAGGAAUUAUAUUAUAUUAUAUUAUAUUCAUAUUAUUAAAUGGUUACCAAAUGUUAUCAAAAUCCGUAAUUCAUUAUAUUAAUUUUAUAUAUUACCAUAGCAACCACAAAUAAAUAAAUAUUAUUCUCAAAUCUUAUAACCCCCAUAGCAACCAUUUAUAAACAAAAAUUUCUAUCGUAAAUCUCAAUAUUCCUGUUUGAGCACAUAUUAUUAAUAAUACAUAUUGAAAAAAAACUAUCCUAUCUUUUAAGUUGGAUCAAAUUACACGCUGUGUAAAAAAUUUCAUCAAAAUCGGUUAAGUGGUUUAGGAGUCCAUUGAGGACAAACAUUGUGACACGAGAUUUAUAUAUAUUAAGAUAUAUUAUUGAUAUAUUAUAGUAUCAAACUAUUAAAUAAUAUGUUAAAUAUACUUUAAAUAAACCUAGACUCAGUCAAUUUACUAUAUUCUUAACUUUCUGUUGAUAACGUUAGUAAUGUUUCAGGAGAAACUUUUUUGGAAGCUAUUGUUAAUACGCCAGAUUCUCUUAAACAAAAAAAAAAAAAUCUAUUAUAAGUCUAGUAUAGUCUAGAGUCUAG
This is a long non-coding RNA of Aphis gossypii (cotton aphid), 4789 nucleotides long. RefSeq lists it as uncharacterized. Lineage: Eukaryota; Metazoa; Arthropoda; Insecta; Hemiptera; Aphididae. The record is from RefSeq and is a predicted model, not a curated record. The transcript has 6 exons.